RNAcentral lists this ribosomal RNA (367 nucleotides) under Lacunicambarus miltus. RNAcentral describes it as "partial large subunit ribosomal RNA". The stretch from base 51 to 367 matches the Rfam family "Bacterial large subunit ribosomal RNA", at positions 2048 to 2583 of the family's 2925-position model. The record is from RNAcentral. Lineage: Eukaryota; Metazoa; Arthropoda; Malacostraca; Decapoda; Cambaridae.
GAUGGUUGGACAGAAAUAGUCUGUCUUAAUUAAAGAUAUUGAAUUUAACUUUUGAGUGAAAAGGCUUAAAUGAUCUGAAGGGAAGAUAAGACCCUAUAAAACUUUAUAUUUAAAAGUGGGAGUUAGUUUUAUUUAAAGGUUGCUAUUUUAUAAUAUUUGGUUGGGGCGACAGGGAUAAAAAAGUAACUGUCCUUUUUUUUUACAAUAAUAUUUGGUUUAAUGAUCCUAAAAUCGAUGGAAGAUUAAGUUACUUUAGGGAUAACAGCGUUAUUUUCUUUAAGAGUUCUUAUCGACAGGAAAGUUUGCGACCUCGAUGUUGAAUUAUAAGUUCUUUAUGGGGUAGAGGCUAUAAUAGAAGGUCUGUUCG